This 1335-nucleotide ribosomal RNA is filed under the name uncultured fungus. RNAcentral describes it as "eukaryotic LSU rRNA". The stretch from base 675 to 1335 matches the Rfam family "Eukaryotic large subunit ribosomal RNA", at positions 1 to 667 of the family's 3401-position model. The record is from RNAcentral. Lineage: Eukaryota; Fungi.
CUUGGUCAUUUAGAGGAAGUAAAAGUCGUAACAAGGUUUCCGUAGGUGAACCUGCGGAAGGAUCAUUAAUGAGAAUUAUAGAGGGAGUUGAUGCUGGUUGCCUUUCUUACUUAGGGAGGGUUACAUGUGCUCGCUUCUGAUAUUCUUUAUCCAUACACCUGUGCACCUGAUGAGGGAUUAACGUCUGAGGCUUUCUUUGCUUCGAGUUUCCCUCUUCUUUUCUACAAACCCUUUUGCAAACUUUGAACGUGAUUGUGCCGCAAGGCCAUAAAAUGUAAUACAACUUUUAACAACGGAUCUCUUGGCUCUCGCAUCGAUGAAGAACGCAGCGAAUUGCGUUAAGUAAUGUGAAUUGCAGAAUUCAGUGAAUCAUCGAAUCUUUGAACGCAUCUUGCGCUCUCUGGUAUUCCGGAGAGCACGCCUGUUCGAGUGUCGUGAAAUUAUCAAGCGCUAGGUGGCUUUAUUGCUAUUUCGGCUUGGAUUUGGGCUUUGCUGUGUUAUUGCGGCUGGUCUUAAAAGUAUUAGCUGGCUUCUUGAUUACGAGUUUGGUUCUACUUGGCGUGAUAAUUUAUCUGACCGCUAAGGACAUCUUUCAGGAUGGCCAGGCUUUUUUCUAUGGGCCGCUUCUAAUAUGGUUAAUGGGUUCAUCUGAAUCUAUUCCGUUUUCCGACCUUUGACCUCGAAUCAGGUGGGACAACCCGCUGAACUUAAGCAUAUCAAUAAGCGGAGGAAAAGAAACUAACAAGGAUUCCCCUAGUAACGGCGAGUGAAGCGGGAUAAGCCCAAAUUUAAAAUCUGGCAGUCUUCGAUUGUCCGAGUUGUAAUCUAGAGAAGCGUUUUCCGCGCUGGACUGUGUACAAGUUUCCUGGAUACGGAACAUCAUAGAGGGUGAGAAUCCCGUCCUUGACACAGACUCCCAGUGCUCUGUGAUGCGCUCUCGACGAGUCGAGUUGUUUGGGAUUGCAGCUCAAAAUGGGAGGUAAAUUCCUUCUAAAGCUAAAUAUUGGCGAGAGACCGAUAGCGAACAAGUACCGUGAGGGAAAGAUGAAAAGCACUUUGGAAAGAGAGUUAAACAGUACGUGAAAUUGUUAAAAGGGAAACGCUUGAAGUCAGUCGCGUCUACUUGGACUCAGCCUUACUUCGGUUUGGUGUAUUUCCUUGUAGACGGGCCAGCGUCCAUGUUGUUUGCUGGAAAAAGGGUGAAGGAAUGUGGCUCUUCCGGGAGUGUUAUAGCCUUUGCUCACAUACGGCGGAUAAUAUGGAGUGGUACAGCAUGCUUCGGUGGUGCUUGUGCUGGCAUAAUGGCUUUAAACGACCCGUCUUGAAACACGGACC